Cinara cedri is the source of this 465-nucleotide non-coding RNA. Lineage: Eukaryota; Metazoa; Arthropoda; Insecta; Hemiptera; Aphididae. The record is from the annotation of a GenBank genome assembly.
AUUCACUUAUAUAUUGCGCACAACUAGUGUAGCAUGUCUUCAUUUGCCAUUCAUGGGCCAGUCAUCACCCAACAUUUUGUGCUUUCUGCAGUACCAAGCAAACUACAACUGAUACUUGUAUGUGGUAAGAUUCUGAUUAAAACAUUAUUGGUUGAUUAAAACCAUAAAAACCUACAGUUUAUGAAUUUGAACUAAAAUUACUUUUUCAGCACAAUAUAUUACUUUCAGAAUGGCAAUGGAAGUACUUCUAGCUGGGUGGGGGAUGGUUUAUACCAGCUUCCAAGAAUGGAUUAUUCAUUAAACUGACUCCAGUGUAUUUUAUUCAAUUAAAUUAAGUGUUUGAUUAUUUUUAAUAUAUAAUUAUACUUGAUUACCCAGUACAAUAUCUCUGACUUCUGUUAUAAGUAAACCUUAUGUUUACCUUAUGUAACCAGUUUGAAAUUAUGCCCCUAACUAUAAUAAAAC